AGUGAACGCUGGCGGCAGGCCUAACACAUGCAAGUCGAGCGGCAGCGCGGGGGCAACCCUGGCGGCGAGCGGCGGACGGGUGAGGAAUUCGUCGGAAUCUGCCUUUUUGUGGGGGAUAACGUAGGGAAACUUACGCUAAUACCGCAUACGUCCUACGGGUGAAAGUGGGUGACCGCAAGGCCUCACGCAGAAAGAUGAGCCGACGACCGAUUAGCUAGUUGGUGGGGUAAAGGCCCACCAAGGCGACGAUCGGUAGCUGGUCUGAGAGGAUGAUCAGCCACACUGGGACUGAGACACGGCCCAGACUCCUACGGGAGGCAGCAGUGGGGAAUAUUGGACAAAGGGCGCAAGCCUGAUCCAGCCAUGCCGCGUGUGUGAAGAAGGCCUUCGGGUUGUAAAGCACUUUUGUCCGGAAAGAAAUCCCUGGAGCUAAUACCUUCGGGGGAUGACGGUACCGGAAGAAUAAGCACCGGCUAACUUCGUG
RNAcentral lists this ribosomal RNA (484 nucleotides) under uncultured bacterium. RNAcentral describes it as "partial 16S ribosomal RNA". It matches the Rfam family "Bacterial small subunit ribosomal RNA", at positions 29 to 507 of the family's 1533-position model. The record is from RNAcentral.